AAGGGAACGCUGGUUCAGCCAGCAUCCUCCAACCCAGUGUGUACCCGCCUUGUUGCCUCGGCGUGCCUGCGCCGUCCGUGGCGCUGCCGGCCCCCGGCUGGAUAGCGCACGCCAGAGGAAUGUUAAACUCAAGCUUGAACGAGUGAUGUCUGAGCUUUAAAUCAAAUACGUUA
Molecule: unclassified non-coding RNA, 173 nt
Filed under: uncultured Botryosphaeria
Lineage: Eukaryota; Fungi; Ascomycota; Dothideomycetes; Botryosphaeriales; Botryosphaeriaceae
Description: sequence contains ITS1
Source: RNAcentral